UUCCGGACUCGCUCCGCAUGUCGGGCUCCCUGCACUCUUGGUGCGGCCAACCGAACAUGGGGCUGUCUCUUCACUCUCCCUCCGGUCACGAAAUGUGCUGCGGUCGGGAUGCUCGCGAUCGGUUGCCUGUGCGGUUCUACCCUCUCGCGGGUAGCGAGUUAGUCCCUCGAUGGAUAUCUGCUUGCCCUUCCGACGUACUGUCGUUCGGGCGGCCGAAUUGUUGGCGAAAUCCCUGCGUCGGUGCGCGGUCGGAUGCCGCGCUGCUACCGCUUGGAUUUCUGCCGGCUCUCACGGAUGCGGUGCCUAUUGCUAGCUCUGCGGGUCUCUGCCCCGCAGACUUCGGGAGGUCCCUCGCGCGCAUCACUGCUCUCAUACGCCGUCUGUCGUGCUGCCGGUGGCGGCGCGCAGAUCGUGUUCCGYCGUGUCGUAGCUAACGACGCGGCGGAACAAAGUGUCCGGAGCGUGCUCGCGCGCGUGCGGAGUCCGCCUCYCGUUCGUUUGAGCAGCGAUUUCCGGUCCGCGUCGUGCGAAGGCGCGCCCGUUCGGGCUGGCGCCGGAGCCGACGCGCCGGCUCUCGUUUAAGACGUGC
RNAcentral lists this unclassified non-coding RNA (589 nucleotides) under Carex banksiana. RNAcentral's name for it is "partial 5' external transcribed spacer". Lineage: Eukaryota; Viridiplantae; Streptophyta; Magnoliopsida; Poales; Cyperaceae. The record is from RNAcentral.